This 497-nucleotide ribosomal RNA is filed under the name uncultured bacterium. RNAcentral describes it as "partial 16S ribosomal RNA". It matches the Rfam family "Bacterial small subunit ribosomal RNA", at positions 28 to 507 of the family's 1533-position model. The record is from RNAcentral.
GAUGAACGCUGGCGGCGUGCCUAAUACAUGCAAGUCGAGCGGACGGACGCUACUCUUGCUUCUCUGUUGUUAGCGGCAGACGGGAGUAUAACACGUGGAUACCCUACCUAUCAGACUGGGAUCACUUCGAGACACCGGAUCUUAUCCCGUAUAAUCUUCUGCACCACGGUGUUCGAUAGUAAGUGUCGGUCGUUCGGUCAGUUAUCGCUGCAUCCCCGCUUCAUUGUCUAGUUGUUAAGGUCACGGCUUUCGAAGGCAAGGAUGCCUAGCCGACCUGCGAGGGUGAUCGGCCGCACGGGAACGGAGACACGGUCCAGACGACUACGGGAGGCAGCAGUAGGGAAUCGUCCGCAAUGGGCGAAAGCCUGACGGAGCAACGCCGCGUGAGUGAUGAAGGUCUUCGGAGCGUAAAACUCUGUUAUUAGGGAAGAACAUAUGUGUAAGUAACUGUGCACAUCGUGACGGUACCUAAUCAGAAAGCCACGGCUAACUACGUG